AGUGAACGCUGGCGGUAGGCCUAACACAUGCAAGUCGAACGGCAGCACAGUAAGAGCUUGCUCUUACGGGUGGCGAGUGGCGGACGGGUGAGGAAUACAUCGGAAUCUACUUUUUCGUGGGGGAUAACGUAGGGAAACUUACGCUAAUACCGCAUACGACCUACGGGUGAAAGCAGGGGAUCUUCGGACCUUGCGCGAUUGAAUGAGCCGAUGUCGGAUUAGCUAGUUGGCGGGGUAAAGGCCCACCAAGGCGACGAUCCGUAGCUGGUCUGAGAGGAUGAGCGGCAACACUGGGAAUGAGACACGGUCCAGACUCCGACGGGAGGCAGCAGUGGGGAAUAUUGGACAAUGGGCGCAAGCCUGAUCCAGCCAUACCGCGGAGGUGAAGAAGGCCUGCGGGUUGUAAAGCCCUUUUGUUGGGAAAGAAAAGCAGCAGGUUAAUACCCCGCUGUUCUGACGGUACCCAAAGAAUAAGCACCGGCUAACUUCGUG
Molecule: ribosomal RNA, 492 nt
Filed under: uncultured bacterium
Lineage: Bacteria
Description: partial 16S ribosomal RNA
Rfam family: Bacterial small subunit ribosomal RNA
Source: RNAcentral